CGUGAGGGAAAGGUGAAAAGAACCCCGGGAGGGGAGUGAAAUAGAACCUGAAACCCUGCACUUACAAGCUGUGGGAGCACAUUACUUGUGUGACCGCGUACUUUUUGUAGAACGGGCCAACGAGUUACGUUAAGUAGCAAGGUUAAGCACUUAAGGUGUGGAGCCGUAGCGAAAGCGAGUCUUAAAUGGGCGUCCAGUUACCCGACGUAGACCCGAAACCAGGCGACCUAUCCAUGAGCAGGUUGAAGCGAAAGUAAAAUUUCGUGGAGGACCGAACCCACGUACGUUGAAAAGUGCGGGGAUGACUUGUGGAUAGCGGUGAAAUUCCAAUCGAGCCUGGAGAUAGCUGGUUCUCCCCGAAAUAGCUUUAGGGCUAGCCUCAAGCUUAGAGAAACGGAGGUAGAGCACUGAAUGUCCUAGGGGGUAUUGCACUUACCGAAGACUAUCAAACUCCGAAUGCCGUUUUCUUUUACUUGGGAGUCAGACUGUGGGUGAUAAGAUUCAUAGUCAAAAGGGCAACAGCCCAGAUCGUCAGCUAAGGUCCCUAAAUGUACGUUAAGUGGUAAAGGAUGUGGGAUUGCACAGACAACCAGGAUGUUGGCUUAGAAGCAGCCACUCAUUUAAAGAGUGCGUAAUAGCUCACUGGUCGAGUGAUUCUGCGCCGAAAAUUUCCGGGGCUAAAACUUACUACCGAAGCUACGGCAUCAUUAUGAUGGGUAGGGGAGCUUUCUAUGCGGCUUGAAGCAUGACCGUAAGGACAUGUGGACUGCAUAGAAGUGAGAAUGUUGGCAUGAGUAGCGAGAUGUGGGUGAGAAUCCCACAGGCCGUAAACCCAAGGUUUCCAGGGGAAGGUUCGUCCGCCCUGGGUUAGUCAGGACCUAAGCCGAGGCCGAAAGGCGUAGGUGAUGGACAACAGGUUGAUAUUCCUGUACCACCAAUAACCGUUUGAGAAAUGGGAUGACACAGUAGGAUAAGCUAACCGCACUGUUGGUUAUGUGCGGGCAAGUAUUGAGGCAGUUCCGAUAGGCAAAUCCGUCGGAAUAAUGCUGGGGUACGAUGCGGAGCGAAAUUUAGUAGCGAAGUAGCUGAUUUCACACUGUCGAGAAAAGUCUCUAUCGAGGUUAAAGGUGCCUGUACCGCAAACCGACACAGGUGGGUGAGGAGAGUAUCCUAAGGCCAGCGAGAGAACUGUUGUUAAGGAACUCGGCAAAAUGACCCCGUAACUUAGGGAGAAGGGGUGCCUUCGAAAGAAGGCCGCAGAGAAUAGGCCCAAGCGACUGUUUACCAAAAACAUAGGUUUCUGCUAAGUCGCAAGACGAUGUAUAGGAGCUGACGCCUGCCCGGUGCUGGAAGGUUAAGGGGAUCUGUUAGAGCAAUCGAAGCAGUGAACUUAAGCCCCAGUAAACGGCGGCCGUAACUAUAACGGUCCUAAGGUAGCGAAAUUCCUUGUCGGGUAAGUUCCGACCCGCACGAAAGGCGUAACGAUUUGGGCACUGUCUCAACAACAGACUCGGUGAAAUUGUAAUACCGGUGAAGAUGCCGGUUACCUGCGACAGGACGGAAAGACCCCAUGGAGCUUUACUGUAGCUUGACAUUGAGUCUCGGUGCUACAUGUACAGGAUAGGUGGGAGACUAUGAAGCAUGGACGUCAGUCUGUGUGGAGUCAUCCUUGGGAUACCACCCUUGUAGUACUGGGAUUCUAACCAGAGGCCAUGAAUCUGGUCUUGGGACACUGUCAGGUGGACAGUUUGACUGGGGCGGUCGCCUCCCAAAAAGUAACGGAGGCGCUCAAAGGUUCUCUCAGUACGGUCGGAAAUCGUACGAAGAGUGUAAAGGCAAAAGAGAGCUUGAUUGCAAGACAUACAGGUCGAGCAAGGACGAAAGUCGGACUUAGUGAUCCGGUGGUUCCGCAUGGAAGGGCCAUCGCUCAACGGAUAAAAGCUACCCUGGGGAUAACAGGCUUAUCUCCCCCAAGAGUUCACAUCGACGGGGAGGUUUGGCACCUCGAUGUCGGCUCAUCGCAUCCUGGAGCUGAAGUCGGUUCCAAGGGUUGGGCUGUUCGCCCAUUAAAGCGGUACGCGAGCUGGGUUCAGAACGUCGUGAGACAGUUCGGUCC
This 2116-nucleotide ribosomal RNA is filed under the name metagenome. Its description in RNAcentral is "bacterial LSU rRNA". It matches the Rfam family "Bacterial large subunit ribosomal RNA", at positions 502 to 2637 of the family's 2925-position model. The record is from RNAcentral.